CACCAAUCAAGCCUGGCUUGGUAUUGGGCGACGGGGCCGUCACACGCCCCGCGCCCCAAAGACCCCGGCGGGACGGACCGGCUCUCGGCGUUGUGAAUCUAUCAACCCGCUGGCGAGACCGGGACGGCCGUGCCGUUAAACCUCUUCUAUUCA
RNAcentral lists this unclassified non-coding RNA (153 nucleotides) under uncultured fungus. Its description in RNAcentral is "sequence contains ITS2". Lineage: Eukaryota; Fungi. The record is from RNAcentral.